CGUAAUUGGACCUAAAACGGCCUGAGGUAGAGGGGUUUUAGUCGGUAGGUCCGAGGACUCCUUCCUCGGGAAUCCGACACUACCCAGUCGUACGGACGGCUGGGUGUCUUUUGAACAUUUCCCCUCUUCCACG
This is a non-coding RNA of Agrilus planipennis (emerald ash borer), 133 nucleotides long. The record is from Rfam. NCBI's taxonomy places the organism in Eukaryota, Metazoa, Arthropoda, Insecta, Coleoptera, Buprestidae.